RNAcentral lists this long non-coding RNA (754 nucleotides) under Lathyrus oleraceus (garden pea). Its description in RNAcentral is "Pisum sativum (pea) long non-coding RNA (PSAT_LNC019689)". Lineage: Eukaryota; Viridiplantae; Streptophyta; Magnoliopsida; Fabales; Fabaceae. The record is from RNAcentral.
AAAAACUCAACAUAUAGCUAAUUCUAUACAAUAAAAAAAUUGAUUCGUUAUUUCUGUAAUCUGAUCAUGUGCAAAAAAUCAUUAGGUUUGGACUUGCAUUAAAAUUGUUCAUUGCCAUAAUCUUAGAUUACAAUGUCAUUAAAAUACAAUUAUUGAACUUAGAUAAUGAAAUAAAUAUUACACCAUAAGGCCGUAGCUAACACAAACACAAACACUAAGUGACAGAAAAACUGUUGUUGUGAAAUUAGCUACUCUCUUGAAUAUGGUAAUAAAUGCAGAAUUAAGAAGGUAUAAAAUUCUUGUCCUUUACACAAUUACACCAACCACCGACACACUUCGCUAUCUUAGGUUCUCGACACCUAUUUUUAUGACAUUCAUAAUCUCUAAAACAUCGUCUACUAGGAUACCACGCUGUAAGGAGAAAAGAUGAUAAAUUAGUAUAAAUUAUAUUAAAUAAUGUAUACAAAAUAAAAUAAAUAAUAAGAAAACUUGAAAUGGAUAAAAAUGGCUAACAUUCAACGUUUGUUGCAGCAAGAAAUAGAGAAAGAAAGUUAAUUAUGACAUAAACAAACUUAACAAUUUUAGCCAUAUUUGUCUCCUUUUCAUGUAAUAAAUGAUUUUAUCACUUUAUAAAUUAUAAAUUCAUAUGAAAGUGUAAAAAACACAUCUUAAAAUUAUAAUUAUAUUUAAAUGUUUUAUUAAUGUUUUGAGGUUGUCUCUUUAACACACUUAAUAAAAAGGUCAAAUUAAAAAC